Molecule: ribosomal RNA, 448 nt
Filed under: uncultured Spirochaetaceae bacterium
Lineage: Bacteria; Pseudomonadati; Spirochaetota; Spirochaetia; Spirochaetales; Spirochaetaceae
Description: bacterial SSU rRNA
Rfam family: Bacterial small subunit ribosomal RNA
Source: RNAcentral
AGCAUGUGGUUAAUUCGAUGGUACGCGAGGAACCUUACCUGGGUUUGACAUACAGGGGGAUGUGGCAGCGAUGUCACAGACUGGAAACAGUACCCUGUACAGGUGCUGCGUGGCUGUCGUCAGCUCGUGCCGUGAGGUGUUGGGUUAAGUCCCGCAACGAGCGCAACCCCUACUGCCAGUUACUAACAGGUAACGCUGAGGACUCUGGCGGAACUGCCGGUGACAAACCGGAGGAAGGUGGGGAUGACGUCAAGUCAUCAUGGCCCCUAUGUCCAGGGCUACACACGUGCUACAAUGGGCGAUACAGAGUGACGCGAAGCCGCGAGGUGGAGCAAAUCGCAGAAAAUCGCUCUCAGUUCGGAUUGGAGUCUGAAACCCGACUCCAUGAAGGUGGAAUCGCUAGUAAUCGCGCAUCAGCAUGGCGCGGUCGAAUACGUUCCCGGGCCUU